UACGUAGGGGGCUAGCGUUGUCCGGAUUUAUUGGGCGUAAAGGGCUUGUAGGUGGCCAACUAAGUCAGACGUGAAAUCCCUCGGCUUAACCGGGGAACUGCGUCUGAUACUGGAUGGCUUGAGUGUGGGAGAGGGAUGCGGAAUUCCAGGCGUAGCGGUGAAAUGCGUAGAUAUCUGGAGGAACACCGGUGGCGAAGGCGGCAUCCUGGACCAUUACUGACACUGAAAAGCGAAAGCCAGGGGAGCAAACGGG
This 253-nucleotide ribosomal RNA is filed under the name uncultured bacterium. RNAcentral describes it as "partial 16S ribosomal RNA". It matches the Rfam family "Bacterial small subunit ribosomal RNA", at positions 524 to 776 of the family's 1533-position model. The record is from RNAcentral.